Molecule: ribosomal RNA, 884 nt
Filed under: Streptomyces sp. RK62
Lineage: Bacteria; Bacillati; Actinomycetota; Actinomycetes; Kitasatosporales; Streptomycetaceae
Description: partial 23S ribosomal RNA
Rfam family: Bacterial large subunit ribosomal RNA
Source: RNAcentral
GGCCAAGUUUUUAAGGGCGCACGGUGGAUGCCUUGGCACCAGGAACCGAUGAAGGACGUGGGAGGCCACGAUAGUCCCCGGGGAGUCGUCAACCAGGCUUUGAUCCGGGGGUUUCCGAAUGGGGAAACCCGGCAGUCGUCAUGGGCUGUCACCCUUGCCUGAACACAUAGGGCAAGUGGAGGGAACGCGGGGAAGUGAAACAUCUCAGUACCCGCAGGAAGAGAAAACAACCGUGAUUCCGGGAGUAGUGGCGAGCGAAACCGGAUGAGGCCAAACCGUAUGCGUGUGAGACCCGGCAGGGGUUGCGCAUUCGGGGUUGUGGGAUCUCUCUUUCAUGGUCUGCCGGCCAUGAGACGAGUCAGAAACCGUUGAUGUAGGCGAAGGACAUGCGAAAGGUCCGGCGUAGAGGGUAAGACCCCCGUAGUCGAAACGUCAGCGGCUCGUUUGAGAGACACCCAAGUAGCACGGGGCCCGAGAAAUCCCGUGUGAAUCUGGCGGGACCACCCGCUAAGCCUAAAUAUUCCCUGGUGACCGAUAGCGGAUAGUACCGUGAGGGAAUGGUGAAAAGUACCGCGGGAGCGGAGUGAAAUAGUACCUGAAACCGUGUGCCUACAAGCCGUGGGAGCGUCGGAGUGGAGCUUGCUCCAUUCUCGUGACUGCGUGCCUUUUGAAGAAUGAGCCUGCGAGUUUGCGGUGUGUUGCGAGGUUAACCCGUGUGGGGAAGCCGUAGCGAAAGCGAGUCCGAACAGGGCGACAUAGUAGCGCGCUCAAGACCCGAAGCGGAGUGAUCUAGCCAUGGGCAGGUUGAAGCGGAGGUAAGACUUCGUGGAGGACCGAACCCACCAGGGUUGAAAACCUGGGGGAUGACCUGUGGUUAGGGGUGA